AGUCGUUCCUCUGCAGUUGCCAAAUCCUUGCUGAGGAUCUGGCCUCUUAUGUUUUUCCAGCCUGCUCCUUCCUUAUAAAUAUUCCUCUUUUUUUUUUUCCCCCCUAUCUUCAGUGUUUCUCCAUCUUCCAGUUUUGCCGAGAGAGACCAGCAGAAAAAUAAGAAGUGGAUUACUAAGGAUUCAUUGGCAUCUCAAAUCCAGCUCCUCUGGUUUUCUGAAGAGCCGAGCGAACCUGUCAGAGUGUAUGUAACUGGUGCUCUUCCUUUCUGCUCCUUUUUAAGAUGCGACGCUCAGCCCCAAACAGAUGGGAACCUGUCAGCACAGCACGGGGAUAAUUACCCGUUCGAGCCACGGGAAGCUUCGUAACGGGUCUGGAGGCUGGCGGAGUGAAAAUUCCUGCUGCAGCAAAGCGGAGUCGUGGAUAUAACCCUCAUGAGCAGGCACCAGGAAGCCAGUAGGCAUCGGCAACAUUACCGUUGGGCUUUCUGGAAUUUAAUAGAAAACCUCUUCUCUUCCACUACAAAAGAUUGCUCCCUGCUGACUCGCGAGCUUCCCAGGUGUGAACUUCAAGGGUCCAGAGCUAGACCUCAUAGCGAAAGGUAGGACUGAAUACUUAUUUUUCUUCUUCUCCUCGAGACACAGCAUCUAAGCGCGUUGCUUCUCCAGUGGGAGCUGCUGGUUGAAUCCAGACCUUCAGCUCAGAGCACAGACGUUACUAUGGGCAGUGACUUCUCCAUCUCCUCUACCACAAGGUCUUGAAGAUGAUGGAUUGGAGCUGUUAACCUGACAAACCCAAACCCUAUUCCUCGGUAGAAGACAGACCAAACAUCUGUCACACAGCUACAGAAUAGCCUGGUUUGAUUUGUUUCUUUCCUUAAAGGAAAAAUAGAAAAAAGAAAAAAAAAAAAAGCCUUUUUUUACUCCAGGCAUUCAGAACUUGGCAUCUCCCCUGAAGUGCAGGUAUUUUAUGUAUCUCAGCCGUUUCUGUGCUACAGCACGUGGGUGGUGUUAUUCUCCACCUGAGUAUCUGAUCCUCUUCUGAAUCCUUCCAAGAUCCUGGCGGCAGUAACACCGCAGUGAUUUAUACAGCUCAAUCGCACUCUAUAGAAAGUCUGUUUUCUUUUAAAUCCGCAGCAUUUCAGAACUGCUGGAUGUUACCUAAGCAGGUCUAGGGGCUGCAGGGGAAGAGGAGUACCCAAAUCUUGCUGUUAAUGGGUAUGCAUGUUCAGAAAACCGGUAAAAACAAGGCCGUUAUUUGAAAAGAGUUAAAUCGAGAGAAAAUUCCUUCCCAGCUCAUAACCAUUUCAGCAGGGAUCAGGUCCUGGGCAAAAACUAGACAACAGCAUCCCUUUGAAUUCUUUCUUACUUCAAGGAAAUGGGGGGGGAAAAAACCAACCUUCCAGUUGAAAGCUUUAUUUGGGAAUAAAGUUUAUCUUCAACAUAUGUCUAAAGAGAGA
This 1457-nucleotide long non-coding RNA is filed under the name Calidris pygmaea (Spoon-billed sandpiper). Its description in RNAcentral is "lncRNA (ENSCPGG00000008633.1)". Lineage: Eukaryota; Metazoa; Chordata; Aves; Charadriiformes; Scolopacidae. The record is from RNAcentral.